UGCUAUGGCCAUGCCACCGUGAACAAGCCCAAUGUCUGAUCUCGGAAGCUAAGCAGGAUUGGGCCUGGUUAGUACUUGGAUGGAAGACCACCUAGGAAGACCAGGUGCUGUAGGCA
RNAcentral lists this ribosomal RNA (116 nucleotides) under Pteropus alecto (black flying fox). Lineage: Eukaryota; Metazoa; Chordata; Mammalia; Chiroptera; Pteropodidae. The record is from RNAcentral.